RNAcentral lists this ribosomal RNA (466 nucleotides) under uncultured bacterium. RNAcentral's name for it is "partial 16S ribosomal RNA". It matches the Rfam family "Bacterial small subunit ribosomal RNA", at positions 28 to 507 of the family's 1533-position model. The record is from RNAcentral.
GAUGAACGCUGGCGGCGUGCUUAACACAUGCAAGUCGAACGGAAAGGCCCUUGCUUGCAGGGGUACUCGAGUGGCGAACGGGUGAGUAACACGUGGGUGAUCUGCCCUGCACUUCGGGAUAAGCCUGGGAAACUGGGUCUAAUACCGGAUAGGACGAUGGGUUGCAUGCCAUUGUGGAAAGUUUUUCGGUGUGGGGUUAGCUCGUGGCCUCUCAGCUUUUUGGUGGGGUAAUGGCCUACCAAGGCGUCGACGGGUAGCCGGCCUGGGAGGGUGUACGGCCACAUUUGGACUGAGAUAAGGCCCAAGCUCCUACGGGAGGGAACAGGGGGGAAUAUUGCACAAGGGGCGCAAGGCUGAUGCAGCCACGCCGCGUGGCGGAAUACGGCCUUUGGGUUGUAAAACCCUUUCGCUAGGUACGGAGCGUUUUGUGACGGUACCUGGUGAAGAAGCACCGGCUAACUACGUG